CCUUUAAUGAUUUGUGUAGAGGUCAUGGCUCUCUAACCUUUAAUGAUUUGUGUAGAGGUCAUGGCUCUCUAACCUUUAAUGAUUUGUGUAGAGGUCAUGGCUCUCUAACUUUUAAUGAUUUGUGUAGAGGUCAUGGCUCUCUAACUUUUAAUGAUUUGUGUAGAGGUCAUGGUUAUCGCUCUUGAAGGCUACUGUUUUAAACUGUUUACAAACAAAAUGUUCAGAUGAAGGUAAAACACGAUAGAAUAUAAAGACAACUCCAUGCCAUGUGAUUUAGAACAUCAACAGUGUUACACUCAUGUAUGAUAGAGUUCUUGAAGGUGAAUCUUUCUUCAAAGUUGCUGUUUGAGCCCGAGCUGGUACAAAUAUGAUGUUGAAUUCAAGCUAGAAGUAUCCCCAGUUCAUCUAGUGCUACAUUACACUUGAUAUCCAUCACAGCUAAAUAUCUAGACUGUUAAGUUGGGGGAGUUGUCUACAUCGCUGAGGUCAACUUUCAUGUCUAAAGGCCAAAGAGGUCACCAAUUAUACCUAAUAUAAGCAUAACUGUCCUGAGUCAUUCAGUCAUCUUUUGGUUUGCUGGAGUUCCUAUUUUUAUUGAUAGUUUGUGUUUCUUCUUACAUAUUACAUCUGUGUUUUGAAGUAGAUGAAUUACUAAGUUAACUUUAUUAAAUAGGGUGAUUAAGUCAUUCUUGAUUCUCCACUGUUGGCACAAUACAAUUUUAAAAACAAAUAUUUGAUGUGUAUGGUGAUAAACAAAUAUUUGAUGUGUAUGGUUGAUGUGCAUGGUGAUAAACAAAUAUUUAGGGAAUUGUUUGCUACUACAUUUCUUUAGAUCUUAUUCCUUCUUCAAAAUCAACUUCUUCUUCAGAGUCCUUUUUGAUAAAACCUAAUUUGGACUUUCAAACAAUUUCAUGAAAUAUAAGGGCAUGUCAGAUUUGAAAUAAAACAAUUAUAUAUAUCUCUAUUUCAUAAAACUUUGCCAAGAACAGCUUUCCCCAUUGUACUGACUACCUCCGAAAAAACCCUGAACAACCUGUAAAAAACAAAAACAAACAUUUCAACAAUCUGUAGCUUUUGACAGCGCAUAGCACCCCACUGGGGCCAAUUCUCUAAUUUUACCCCCAAUUUACCCGAACAGCAUGCCAAAAAAAUGUGACAGCUAUCUAAAUUUUCAUAUGUUCGAGUAAAAGUGACAAACUUACAUAAAAAAAAACCCAGAUAUUAUAUGUUACAGCUAAUUUGAAAAUAUGGUAAUAUUUAGCGCCCCACAACCCACCUUCGGUUACAUCUCCACAAACACCCAAAAUCAACAUCCUAGACCACCCACAACUACAGUCUGGAAUACAUACGCAACAAACCAUGUUUCAGGAUUCGGAAUUAACAAACGUAGCGCUCAUCAUUGAGAUAUACAGACACAUCAUAAGGAAAGAAAUUAAUUUAUUCCCUAGACAAGUUGAGUAAUCAUGACCUAUGUUGUAACGCCGACAUUUGAUGGAGGGCUGCCAUCAAAAAAUAAAUGAAAGCUUGAUGAAGGAAUUAUGUUUUCACACGUCAGAUAAUGUAGAAUACGUACGGACGAUGCUGAUGCAGUAAUUACAAAUCCGAGUUCUUGAGUCAUUCUGUGUAAUUUUUCUGGCUUGCAGAGUUCCCUAUUUAUUUUGCCUUAAUACAAAAAGGCCCCGAUUUAACUGGUGUGGAGAAUUACCUUCUCAAGCAAUGGUUUCCUUCGUUUUCUUAGAGCUUCAUCCAACAAAUUUAAACACAGAACUACUUUGACAAGAAAACUGAAGAGUGAUCACAAUUAUUAACCAAAUUCCUGAAAAAUCUGCUUCAAAACAAUUUGUAAAUUCAAAAGGAAAAACGUAUUUACUAAGAUUGAUUUUAAUCAAACUAAAAAUGAAAUGAUAGAUGGGCCAUGUUUUUUUUUUUUUUUUUUUUUUAUAUCAAACUGAUAUCUGACAGGUUCCAUGUUUUAAUGUUAUGCCAUAUUCACCAAUAUCAAAAUAUUU
Long non-coding RNA from Mizuhopecten yessoensis (Yesso scallop), 2009 nucleotides. RefSeq lists it as uncharacterized. The record is from RefSeq and is a predicted model, not a curated record. The transcript has 2 exons. NCBI's taxonomy places the organism in Eukaryota, Metazoa, Mollusca, Bivalvia, Pectinida, Pectinidae.